RNAcentral lists this transfer RNA (68 nucleotides) under Anolis cybotes (large-headed anole). Its description in RNAcentral is "tRNA-Thr". It matches the Rfam family "tRNA". From Rfam's summary of the family: Transfer RNA (tRNA) molecules are approximately 80 nucleotides in length. Their secondary structure includes four short double-helical elements and three loops (D, anti-codon, and T loops). The record is from RNAcentral. Lineage: Eukaryota; Metazoa; Chordata; Lepidosauria; Squamata; Anolidae.
GUCUUUAUAGCUUAAAAUAAAAGCCCUGGUCUUGUAAACCAAAGACGGGUGUUACUACCCUAAAGAUA